This 327-nucleotide ribosomal RNA is filed under the name uncultured eukaryote. Its description in RNAcentral is "partial 18S ribosomal RNA". It matches the Rfam family "Eukaryotic small subunit ribosomal RNA", at positions 1470 to 1796 of the family's 1831-position model. The record is from RNAcentral.
CCCUUAGAUGUUCUGGGCCGCACGCGCGCUACACUGAUUCAUGCAACAAGUUUUGUCCUUGGCUGAUAGGCCUGGGUAAUCUUUGAACGUGAAUCGUGAUGGGGAUAGAUGACUGCAAUUAUUCAUCUUCAACGAGGAAUUCCUAGUAAACGCAAGUCAUCAGCUUGCAUUGAUUACGUCCCUGCCCUUUGUACACACCGCCCGUCGCACCUACCGAUUGAAUGGUCCGGUGAAAUCUUCGGAUCUGAGAGAUGUCUGAUUAAUUUCGGACGCCUUUUGGAAAAGUUGCUUAAACCUUACCAUUUAGAGGAAGGUGAAGUCGUAACA